UACGGAGGGUGCGAGCGUUGUUCGGAAUCACUGGGCGUAAAGCGCGUGUAGGCGGCAUCCUAAGUCUGGUGUGAAAGCCCGGGGCUCACCCCCGGAAGUGCACUGGAUACUGGGAAGCUAGAGUACCGGAGAGGAGGGUGGAAUUCCUGGUGUAGCGGUGAAAUGCGUAGAUAUCGGGAGGAACACCGGUGGCGAAGGCGGCCCUCUGGACGGAUACUGACGCUGAGACGCGAAAGCGUGGGGAGCAAACAGG
RNAcentral lists this ribosomal RNA (253 nucleotides) under uncultured bacterium. Its description in RNAcentral is "partial 16S ribosomal RNA". It matches the Rfam family "Bacterial small subunit ribosomal RNA", at positions 524 to 776 of the family's 1533-position model. The record is from RNAcentral.